This 464-nucleotide ribosomal RNA is filed under the name uncultured bacterium. Its description in RNAcentral is "partial 16S ribosomal RNA". It matches the Rfam family "Bacterial small subunit ribosomal RNA", at positions 339 to 795 of the family's 1533-position model. The record is from RNAcentral.
CUACGGGAUGCUCCAGUGGGGAAUAUUGCACAAUGGGCGCAAGCCUGAUGCAGCCAUGCCGCGUGUAUGAAGAAGGCCUUCGGGUUGUAAAGUACUUUCAGCGGGGAGGAAGGGAGUAAAGUUAAUACCUUUGCUCAUUGACGUUACCCGCAGAAGAAGCACCGGCUAACUCCGUGCCAGCAGCCGCGGUAAUAUGGAGGGUGCAAGCGUUAAUCGGAAUUACUGGGCGUAAAGCGCACGCAGGCGGUUUGUUAAGUCAGAUGUGAAAUCCCCGGGCUCAACCUGGGAACUGCAUCUGAUACUGGCAAGCUUGAGUCUCGUAGAGGGGGGUAGAAUUCCAGGUGUAGCGGUGAAAUGCGUAGAGAUCUGGAGGAAUACCGGUGGCGAAGGCGGCUCCCUGGACGAAGACUGACGCUCAGGUGCGAAAGCGUGGGGAGCAAACAGGAUUAGAUACCCCCGUAGUC